RNAcentral lists this transfer RNA (72 nucleotides) under Candidatus Portnoybacteria bacterium CG10_big_fil_rev_8_21_14_0_10_38_18. RNAcentral's name for it is "tRNA-Val". It matches the Rfam family "tRNA". From Rfam's summary of the family: Transfer RNA (tRNA) molecules are approximately 80 nucleotides in length. Their secondary structure includes four short double-helical elements and three loops (D, anti-codon, and T loops). Lineage: Bacteria; Candidatus Portnoyibacteriota. The record is from RNAcentral.
GGGCAGUUAGUUUAUCGGUAAAACGUCUGCUUUACACGCAGAAGAUGGUAGGUUCGAUUCCUACACUGCCCA